Molecule: ribosomal RNA, 424 nt
Filed under: uncultured prokaryote
Description: bacterial SSU rRNA
Rfam family: Bacterial small subunit ribosomal RNA
Source: RNAcentral
UGGGGAAUAUUGGACAAUGGGCGCAAGCCUGAUCCAGCCAUGCCGCGUGAGUGAUGAAGGCCCUAGGGUUGUAAAGCUCUUUCACCGGUGAAGAUAAUGACGGUAGCCGGAGAAGAAGCCCCGGCUAACUUCGUGCCAGCAGCCGCGGUAAUACGAAGGGGGCUAGCGUUGUUCGGAAUUACUGGGCGUAAAGCGCGCGUAGGCGGAUUGUUAAGUUAGGGGUGAAAUCCCAGGGCUCAACCCUGGAACUGCCUUUAAUACUGGCAAUCUGGAGUCCGAGAGAGGUGAGUGGAAUUCCGAGUGUAGAGGUGAAAUUCGUAGAUAUUCGGAGGAACACCAGUGGCGAAGGCGGCUCACUGGCUCGGUACUGACGCUGAGGUGCGAAAGCGUGGGGAGCAAACAGGAUUAGAUACCCGUGUAGUCC